UGGGGAAUAUUGCACAAUGGGGGAAACCCUGAUGCAGCAACGCCGCGUGAGUGAUGACGGCCUUCGGGUUGUAAAGCUCUGUCUUUGGGGACGAUAAUGACGGUACCCAAGGAGGAAGCCACGGCUAACUACGUGCCAGCAGCCGCGGUAAUACGUAGGUGGCAAGCGUUGUCCGGAUUUACUGGGCGUAAAGGGAGCGUAGGCGGAUUUUUAAGUGGGAUGUGAAAUACCCGGGCUCAACCUGGGUGCUGCAUUCCAAACUGGAAAUCUAGAGUGCAGGAGGGGAAAGUGGAAUUCCUAGUGUAGCGGUGAAAUGCGUAGAGAUUAGGAAGAACACCAGUGGCGAAGGCGACUUUCUGGACUGUAACUGACGCUGAGGCUCGAAAGCGUGGGGAGCAAACA
Molecule: ribosomal RNA, 402 nt
Filed under: uncultured bacterium
Lineage: Bacteria
Also listed under: 1 other name
Description: partial 16S ribosomal RNA
Rfam family: Bacterial small subunit ribosomal RNA
Source: RNAcentral